RNAcentral lists this transfer RNA (68 nucleotides) under Portunus armatus. Its description in RNAcentral is "tRNA-Asp". Lineage: Eukaryota; Metazoa; Arthropoda; Malacostraca; Decapoda; Portunidae. The record is from RNAcentral.
AAGAAAUUAGUUAAAUGAAUAAUAUUAACCUGUCAUGUUAAAGUCAUCUUUUAUAAAGAUAUUUCUUG